UACGUAGGGGGCAAGCGUUGUCCGGAUUUAUUGGGCGUAAAGAGCGUGUAGGCGGCCAGACAAGUCUGCUGUGAAAACUCGAGGCUCAACCUCGAGCUGUCGGUGGAAACUGUCUGGCUAGAGUCCGGAAGAGGAGAGUGGAAUUCCUGGUGUAGCGGUGAAAUGCGCAGAUAUAGGAAGGAAUACCAGUGGCGAAGGCGGCCUCCUGGAUCGAUACUGACGCUGAGGCGCGAAAGCGUGGGGAGCAAACAGG
Molecule: ribosomal RNA, 253 nt
Filed under: uncultured bacterium
Lineage: Bacteria
Description: partial 16S ribosomal RNA
Rfam family: Bacterial small subunit ribosomal RNA
Source: RNAcentral